CCUGGUGGCUCAGUUGGUAAAGAAUCUGCCUGUAAUGCAGGAGACCCGGGUUCAAUCCCUGGGUCAGGA
RNAcentral lists this transfer RNA (69 nucleotides) under Bos taurus (domestic cattle). It matches the Rfam family "tRNA". From Rfam's summary of the family: Transfer RNA (tRNA) molecules are approximately 80 nucleotides in length. Their secondary structure includes four short double-helical elements and three loops (D, anti-codon, and T loops). Lineage: Eukaryota; Metazoa; Chordata; Mammalia; Artiodactyla; Bovidae. RNAcentral also lists the same sequence under 4 other names. The record is from Rfam by way of RNAcentral.